AGUGGCGCACGGGUGAGUAAUGCAUAGGAACGUGCCUUUAGGAGGGGAAUAACCACGGGAAACCGUGGCUAAUACCGCAUAAUCUGGCAACAGUAAAAGUGGCCUCUACUUGUAAGCUACUACCUAAAGAGCGGCCUAUGUCCCAUUAGCUAGUUGGUAAGGUAAUGGCUUACCAAGGCAACGAUGGGUAGCUGGUCUGAGAGGAUGAUCAGCCACACUGGAACUGAGACACGGUCCAGACUCCUACGGGAGGCAGCAGUGGGGAAUAUUGCACAAUGGGCGCAAGCCUGAUGCAGCAACGCCGCGUGAGUGAAGAAGGCCUUCGGGUUGUAAAGCUCUUUCGACUGGGAAGAAGGGUAGUUAUUUAAAUAACUUAACUAUCUGACGGUACCAGGAGAAGAAGCACCGGCUAACUCCGUGCCAGCAGCCGCGGUAAUACGGAGGGUGCAAGCGUUGUUCGGAAUUACUGGGCGUAAAGCGCUCGUAGGCGGAUUCGUAAGUCAAUUGUGAAAGCCCUGGGCUCAACCCGGGAAUUGCAGUUGAAACUGCGAACCUUGAAUACCUGAGAGGGUGACGAAAUUCCUGGUGUAGAAGUGAAAUUCGUAGAUAUCAGGAGGAACACCAGAGGCGAAAGCGGUUGCCUGGCAGAGUAUUGACGCUGAGGAGCGAAAGCGUGGGGAGCAAACAGGAUUAGAUACCCUGUAGUCCACGCUGU
This 715-nucleotide ribosomal RNA is filed under the name uncultured Oligoflexaceae bacterium. Its description in RNAcentral is "bacterial SSU rRNA". It matches the Rfam family "Bacterial small subunit ribosomal RNA", at positions 94 to 803 of the family's 1533-position model. Lineage: Bacteria; Pseudomonadati; Bdellovibrionota; Oligoflexia; Oligoflexales; Oligoflexaceae. The record is from RNAcentral.